UACGUAGGGUGCGAGCGUUGUCCGGAAUUAUUGGGCGUAAAGGGCUCGUAGGCGGUCCGUCACGUCGGGAGUGAAAACUCGGAGCUUAACUCCGAGCCUGCUUCCGAUACGGGCAGACUAGAGGUAGGCAGGGGAGAGCGGAACUCCUGGUGUAGCGGUGGAAUGCGCAGAUAUCAGGAAGAACACCGGUGGCGAAGGCGGCUCUCUGGGCCUUACCUGACGCUGAGGAGCGAAAGCAUGGGGAGCGAACAGG
Molecule: ribosomal RNA, 253 nt
Filed under: uncultured bacterium
Lineage: Bacteria
Description: partial 16S ribosomal RNA
Rfam family: Bacterial small subunit ribosomal RNA
Source: RNAcentral